GAUGAACGCUGGCGGCGUGCCUAAUACAUGCAAGUUGAGCGAACAGACGAGGAGCUUGCUCCUCUGACGUUAGCGGCGGACGGGUGAGUAACACGUGGAUAACCUACCUAUAAGACUGGGAUAACUUCGGGAAACCGGAGCUAAUACCGGAUAAUAUAUUGAACCGCAUGGUUCAAUAGUGAAAGACGGUUUUGCUGUCACUUAUAGAUGGAUCCGCGCCGCAUUAGCUAGUUGGUAAGGUAACGGCUUACCAAGGCAACGAUGCGUAGCCGACCUGAGAGGGUGAUCGGCCACACUGGAACUGGGACACGGUCCAGACUCCUACGGGAGGCAGCAGUAGGGAAUCUUCCGCAAUGGGCGAAAGCCUGACGGAGCAACGCCGCGUGAGUGAUGAAGGUCUUCGGAUCGUAAAACUCUGUUAUUAGGGAAGAACAAAUGUGUAAGUAACUAUGCACGUCUUGACGGUACCUAAUCAGAAAGCCACGGCUAACUACGUG
This 497-nucleotide ribosomal RNA is filed under the name uncultured bacterium. RNAcentral describes it as "partial 16S ribosomal RNA". It matches the Rfam family "Bacterial small subunit ribosomal RNA", at positions 28 to 507 of the family's 1533-position model. The record is from RNAcentral.